RNAcentral lists this unclassified non-coding RNA (119 nucleotides) under uncultured Ascomycota. Its description in RNAcentral is "sequence contains ITS1". The record is from RNAcentral. Lineage: Eukaryota; Fungi; Ascomycota.
AUGAAUGGCCCUCUUGGGCCUUCAACCCCAAAAAACCGUGGAAUCUUUCCGUGCUUCGGCGCCCUCGUGGCGUCGUAUUAAUGCAAUCGAACUGUCUGUCUGAAUCCUAUCUAGAAUUA